Molecule: ribosomal RNA, 1403 nt
Filed under: Chromohalobacter sp. Sa10-2XX
Lineage: Bacteria; Pseudomonadati; Pseudomonadota; Gammaproteobacteria; Oceanospirillales; Halomonadaceae
Description: 16S ribosomal RNA
Rfam family: Bacterial small subunit ribosomal RNA
Source: RNAcentral
UGCAAGUCGAGCGGUAACGGGUCCAGCUUGCUGGAUGCCGACGAGCGGCGGACGGGUGAGUAAUGCAUAGGAAUCUGCCCAGUCGUGGGGGAUAACCUGGGGAAACUCAGGCUAAUACCGCAUACGUCCUACGGGAGAAAGCGGGGGCUCUUCGGACCUCGCGCGAUUGGAUGAGCCUAUGUCGGAUUAGCUAGUUGGUGAGGUAACGGCUCACCAAGGCGACGAUCCGUAGCUGGUCUGAGAGGAUGAUCAGCCACACCGGGACUGAGACACGGCCCGGACUCCUACGGGAGGCAGCAGUGGGGAAUAUUGGACAAUGGGCGCAAGCCUGAUCCAGCCAUGCCGCGUGUGUGAAGAAGGCUUUCGGGUUGUAAAGCACUUUCAGUGGGGAAGAAAGCGUGCCGGCCAAUACCCGGUACGGACGACAUCACCCACAGAAGAAGCACCGGCUAACUCCGUGCCAGCAGCCGCGGUAAUACGGAGGGUGCGAGCGUUAAUCGGAAUUACUGGGCGUAAAGCGCGCGUAGGCGGCUAAGUAAGCCGGUUGUGAAAGCCCCGGGCUCAACCUGGGAAUGGCAUCCGGAACUGUUUAGCUAGAGUGCAGGAGAGGAAGGUAGAAUUCCCGGUGUAGCGGUGAAAUGCGUAGAGAUCGGGAGGAAUACCAGUGGCGAAGGCGGCCUUCUGGACUGACACUGACGCUGAGGUGCGAAAGCAUGGGUAGCAAACAGGAUUAGAUACCCUGGUAGUCCAUGCCGUAAACGAUGUCGACUAGCCGUUGGGUCCCUUGAGGACUUAGUGGCGCAGUUAACGCGAUAAGUCGACCGCCUGGGGAGUACGGCCGCAAGGUUAAAACUCAAAUGAAUUGACGGGGGCCCGCACAAGCGGUGGAGCAUGUGGUUUAAUUCGAUGCAACGCGAAGAACCUUACCUACCCUUGACAUCCUGCGAACCCUCCGGAGACGGAGGGGUGCCUUCGGGAYCGCAGAGACAGGUGCUGCAUGGCUGUCGUCAGCUCGUGUUGUGAAAUGUUGGGUUAAGUCCCGUAACGAGCGCAACCCUUGUCCUUAUUUGCCAGCACGUAAAGGUGGGAACUCUAAGGAGACUGCCGGUGACAAACCGGAGGAAGGUGGGGACGACGUCAAGUCAUCAUGGCCCUUACGGGUAGGGCUACACACGUGCUACAAUGGCCGGUACAAAGGGUUGCAAUCCCGCGAGGGGGAGCCAAUCUCAUAAAGCCGGUCUCAGUCCGGAUCGGAGUCUGCAACUCGACUCCGUGAAGUCGGAAUCGCUAGUAAUCGUGCAUCAGAAUGGCACGGUGAAUACGUUCCCGGGCCUUGUACACACCGCCCGUCACACCAUGGGAGUGGACUGCACCAGAAGUGGUUAGCCUAACUUCGGAGGGCG